This 253-nucleotide ribosomal RNA is filed under the name uncultured bacterium. RNAcentral describes it as "partial 16S ribosomal RNA". It matches the Rfam family "Bacterial small subunit ribosomal RNA", at positions 524 to 776 of the family's 1533-position model. The record is from RNAcentral.
UACAGGGGGUGCAACCGUUGCUCGGAAUUAUUGGGCGUAAAGCGCACGUAGGCGGUUUGUUAUGUCGGAUGUGAAAGCCCUUGGCUCAACUGAGGAAGUGCAUCCGAAACUGGCAAGCUAGAGUAUGUAAGAGGGUCGCGGAAUUCCCGGUGUAGAGGUGAAAUUCGUAGAUAUCGGGAGGAACACCGGUGGCGAAGGCGGCGACCUGGGACAAUACUGACGCUGAGGUGCGAAAGCGUGGGUAGCAAACAGG